GAGCCGCCACCGUGCGUUAUUUAUCCCAAAAGAGGGAAAGGAAACGCUCAGAGUAAACCUGGGAAAGAACAUGGUCUCGCGACCAAAGAGAAUGGGUUCGGGAGUCGGUUAUGCGAAGGGAAGGUAUUAGCACCCCUACGCAUCCGUAGUACUCUACGGGAUCCACGCACAAUAGGAAGGAAAAUGGUUGCUAAACACUGCUCACACUCACACACACUGGCUGAAAAGAGACAAAAGAAACUGACUGAAAACUGACACUAACUCGGCAGGAUAUCGCAUCCUGGGCCUACUUAGUCUAUCAGGCAUAGACAUCAGAGUCGAAGUAGUUCGGACUGGGGAAACAACACAUGCUCGCUAGGAUAUCGCAUCCUAUGCAUACAUAUCUCCUCGGACGAGAGAAGAAUCAGAGCAUUCGUAGCUCGGCUGACACGCGCACAAACAAACACAGGCAAAGGCAAACGUGGAGCCCGAAUGCCAAUCACUGGACUUACAUCAGCAUCCGAACCAAAACACACACAAGAAGGCAAACAUGGAGCCUGAAUGCCAAUUGCUGGACUUACAUCAGCAUCCGGGUCAAAACGCACGCACACUGGAACCCAAAUGCCACUCGAGGGACUUAUAUCAGCUUCCAAGCACACAACAACAUAACAAGUUAAUAGGGAGUCGGGGACUCGAGCCUAUAACUGUCAAGCACACACUCAAACAGACAGACAACAAAUUGCUAAGGAGUCAGGCACUCGAGCCUAGCAACUGUCAAACAACACACACAAAAAGAAAAAAGGGCGCCCGGAGAGAUCAG
This 799-nucleotide long non-coding RNA is filed under the name Lathyrus oleraceus (garden pea). RNAcentral describes it as "Pisum sativum (pea) long non-coding RNA (PSAT_LNC027494)". The record is from RNAcentral. Lineage: Eukaryota; Viridiplantae; Streptophyta; Magnoliopsida; Fabales; Fabaceae.